This 468-nucleotide ribosomal RNA is filed under the name uncultured bacterium. RNAcentral's name for it is "partial 16S ribosomal RNA". It matches the Rfam family "Bacterial small subunit ribosomal RNA", at positions 28 to 507 of the family's 1533-position model. The record is from RNAcentral.
GACGAACGCUGGCGGCGUGCUUAACACAUGCAAGUCGAACGGAAAGGCCCUGCUUUUGUGGGGUGCUCGAGUGGCGAACGGGUGAGUAACACGUGAGUAACCUGCCCUUGACUUUGGGAUAACUUCAGGAAACUGGGGCUAAUACCGGAUAGGAGCUCCUGCUGCAUGGUGGGGGUUGGAAAGUUUCGGCGGUUGGGGAUGGACUCGCGGCUUAUCAGCUUGUUGGUGGGGUAGUGGCUGACCAAGGCUUUGAAGGGUAGCCGGCCUGAGAGGGUGACCGGCCACAUUGGGACUGAGAUACGGCCCAGACUCCUACGGGAGGCAGAAGUGGGGAAUAUUGCACAAUGGGCGGAAGCCUGAUGCAGCAACGCCGCGUGCGGGAUGACGGCCUUCGGGUUGUAAACCGCUUUCGCCUGUGACGAAGCGUGAGUGACGGUAAUGGGUAAAGAAGCACCGGCUAACUACGUG